AGCAUGGCCCUUACGGCCUGGGCGACACACGUGCUACAAUGCCCACUACAAAGCGAGGCCACCCGGCAACGGGGAGCUAAUCGCAAAAAGGUGGGCCCAGUUCGGAUUGGGGUCUGCAACCCGACCCCAUGAAGCCGGAAUCGCUAGUAAUCGCGGAUCAGCCAUGCCGCGGUGAAUACGUUCCCGGGCCUU
Molecule: ribosomal RNA, 192 nt
Filed under: uncultured Thermus sp.
Lineage: Bacteria; Thermotogati; Deinococcota; Deinococci; Thermales; Thermaceae
Description: partial 16S ribosomal RNA
Rfam family: Bacterial small subunit ribosomal RNA
Source: RNAcentral